GACGAACGCUGGCGGCGUGCUUAACACAUGCAAGUCGAACGGAAAGGCCCUGCUUGCAGGGUACUCGAGUGGCGAACGGGUGAGUAACACGUGGGUGAUCUGCCCUGCACUUCGGGAUAAGCCUGGGAAACUGGGUCUAAUACCGGAUAGGAGCCAUUUUUAGUGUGAUGGUUGGAAAGUUUUUUCGGUGUAGGAUGAGCUCGCGGCCUAUCAGCUUGUUGGUGGGGUAAUGGCCUACCAAGGCGGCGACGGGUAGCCGGCCUGAGAGGGUGGACGGCCACAUUGGGACUGAGAUACGGCCCAGACUCCUACGGGAGGCAGCAGUGGGGAAGAUUGCACAAUGGGCGCAAGCAUGAUGCAGCGACGCCGCGUGGGGGAUGACGGCCUUCGGGUUGUAAACUCCUUUCGCUAGGGACGAAGCUUUUUGUGACGGUACCUAGAUAAGAAGCACCGGCUAACUACGUG
This 465-nucleotide ribosomal RNA is filed under the name uncultured bacterium. RNAcentral describes it as "partial 16S ribosomal RNA". It matches the Rfam family "Bacterial small subunit ribosomal RNA", at positions 28 to 507 of the family's 1533-position model. The record is from RNAcentral.